CUGCACACGUUAGAGAAGAAGAAAUAGAGGUAUCAGCACAACAUUUGUAAAGAUGUCCUGGCUCUCAACAAAGGCACCAGGCAGGAUUGUUUUUUCUCUUGCAUUCCCAUAAGCCUGACUUCCUGAUGUCCACUACACUCUGUUCUCAAUCUUCUCCAGUCUUUUGCAAACUUUGAUGUUCAGAUGUCCUAUAAGCCUGACUUCCUGAUGUCCACUACACUCCGUUCUCAACCUUCUCCGGUAUUCUGCAAACUGUGAAUGCCUCCUUGUGUUGGAUUCAUGAUGUUCACCAUACUGCACGGCCUACUUUUUUUCUUCGCAAGCUAUGGAAAGAAACUCUGUUCAGCUCAUGAAACGGACUGUUCACAUUUUUUGACAUUUGUGGAGGAAGCAGGGUAUCCUGGUAAUUUUAUUUUGCAGCUACUAUGCUCUCGUCAUAGAUACCUUGCAUCCUACUCAGUGAGUACAUUAUACGAUUUUGAUUUCCAGUAUCUGAUGGACAUUUUGACUCCCAUGUUGAAAUAUGAUUAUUUUAUCAUAUUUUCUCAUUACAACCUACAAUUUGUAUAUAUAGGCCCAACAAAGAGAGAAAUCUGAACUGACAAAGCUGCUCUAUAUGCAUCACAGGUCGAUAUUGUUGACCUUCACAAAUGACUUCAGUCAGUCAGUUUCAGUUGUACAUUUAGAUAAUUCCAAACAUUGAUGUCAACACACUGCUGUUCUUGUACCUAAUAAUAACUUUGAGUUAGUCAUGGCAAAAUGUGUGCAAAAUAUGUGAUGGUUGACUUCAGAGUAAACACUCAUUUUUGACAAAACCCUUCACAUUGAACUUGUAGUAGAGUUGUUUGCAUUAAUUGAACAGGCCAUCUUUGUUUUUUUGUAUGUGAAGGUCAUUAACAAGGAAUAAAAUGAUUGUUUUCAUAUUAAA
Long non-coding RNA from Sardina pilchardus (European sardine), 928 nucleotides. RefSeq lists it as uncharacterized. The transcript is spliced from 4 exons. NCBI's taxonomy places the organism in Eukaryota, Metazoa, Chordata, Actinopteri, Clupeiformes, Clupeidae. The record is from RefSeq and is a predicted model, not a curated record.